UAUCAUAUUCGAAUAUAUUUAUUUUAGUGAUGAUGUAUGAAUUAUUAUCAUAAUUUGAAAAUUUACUAAAAAAACAAUAUCAACAUGAAUUGUAAUAUAUGAGUUAUUACCUUAACCAAAAUUAUAAAUUAACAUUAAAUAUAAUUAUAUAUGUCAUAUUUAGCUAUACAAUGUGUCAUCAAUAUUAAUAGCCAUGUCAAUAUUACAUAAUGCCAAUAUUAUGCUACUUAAACCCCAAAUCCCCUAACUCCCGUUAAGUAGCCAAAUUCAUAAAUAUACUUAUUCGACAAAACAAAAAACUUUAAAAUAUUUACUAAUCCGACCAUGCACAAGCAUCCAUUCCCUAUUCCAUCGCGAUAGGAUAACAAUGCAACCAACUCCUCAAAAAAAAAUCAAGCUCUUUUGCAAAAAAAAAAAAAAAUUUUAACACCUAAAAUUUUUUGUUUCCAAACUUCUACAGGGAACACACAUAAAAAGAAAAAGAGGACGUCCACUCGGAUCACGCAACAAACCAAAAGGUGUGUCAUGACUCCUAAGAUAUAGUAUUUCUUUAUUCAAAAUCAUACCAUUUUAAAUUAUGAAUGUAUUUCGUAGUCCACCAGAUAUGCAAUCUACCAGCGUUCAAACCAAAGUUUUAUGAUUGUAAGUUUAAGUGAAUUAUAAUAAUAUAUUCUUUUUUUUGUAACUGAUAAAAUAAUAUAUUCUUCACGGUAUCUUUUCAUAACUAAUUGAGUUAUCAAACUUGAUCGCAUAGGUGGCUUUGAUAAGUGUGACCUUUAUGGUGUACAAUUCUUUUCAACCUAAAAACAUUAUUGUUCCUCAAUAUCUUUCAUUCUGCUUGACUCCAACAAAAUAUUUUCUCAUCUGUUUUUCUUCCUUUAAACUAAUUUAUUAUCAUCUAUUUCCUGACAUUUUAAUCCAUCCAACUAUGUCAAAAACUUAUAGAAAAUGUCAACUUCCAAACAAAACAUAAUUGAACUUAGCAAAUAAAUUCUUAAUAAUAUUAAAAACGUUACUUAAUAAUUUCUUCAACCCCCAUUUUCCGCGCGUAGCGCGGACAAAGACUCUAGUAUAUGUAAAGGAGGAUAUUUGUGAGUUUAAGUCUUAACUAUAUGUAGGUAGGUAAGAUUUUAGGAUAAGUAGUUAUUAAUAUUGAUAAUGUAAUCUAAUUUACUAUAGGAGAUACUUAGUAAUUUGUGUAUAAAAGUAUAACGGUUCCAAUUCUGUUAUUAUAUAUAUUGAUAUGAUCUUUCUAUACUAAAUCUAACAAUACUAAAAGCCAAAUAUAAACCCCAUUUAGCCUAUCCACGUAGGACUAUUAAUUCUAACCAAUCAUAUAGCUUCAUCUCUCCACAUCACCACCGAAUGUUGGAUCAUCGAAUUGGACAUUGUUUAUGGGCCCAAUCAUAUAUUGUUUUCGGCCUGUCUAUAAGAAGCUUCGGUUGCGUCUUUAAGCCUUUCUUUCUAAUCCUUCGAAACGUUAAGAGGUUAUUAAUUCGUCGCUUUAACAAACCUCUUAAUACCAUCAACCCGCGUCGAACAUGAUCUGAGAUUGAUGCUCUCCAAGUUGGUCUCUCUGCACCUAUAAAAGUGGCUUCUCGCUGCAACACAAGAAACUGCAAUGAACGGAGAGUCCUCAUCGGUUCGAAUCAGCCCUAAGCACGAAGGAGUCGUGGAGAUCUCUGAUUAUGUACCUCUCAUUCCUUCUCUCGAGAUCUCGGUCAUCAUGAUACGUGGCUAUGUGAGGAGAUGGUGUUGAGAUGAGGAUGAUAGCUCUUACUUCACCUUGAAAUAAUUGAUCGACCGUUCAAGACGACCGACUACUCGGUUACUCGGUUGACAGGGAGGCGUUUACUCACUGAAAAAUCUCUUCUGAAGUGUUUUCCUUUCCAAGAGUCUGCUCAAUUGAUUGAUGUUUCUUUUUUCACCUUCUCUGCAAAACUUUUUUGGUAGCCAAGAGUCACUUUUUAUAAACUUCAGGCUUCUGAACUCUCAUUCUAAAAAUGGAUUUUUGUGUGGUUCUCUCAUUCUAUGAUCUUUUGUUCGUCUGAUAUGUUCGAUUUCAAAAGCAAGUUAUUAUCUAAUUAAAGCAUUGUCUUUAUAGGAACAGAAGCGAUGAUGACAAGAGAAGAAAGCUGAGUCCUCUGGAAAGAAACAACACAAUAAGUAAUUUAGAAGAACAAAGGGAGCUGAAGUUGCAAGACAUGUGGACUGUCCGUUGCAUUAGUUUUUUUAUUUUAUUUCCAAGUUCAACGAAGUCAGAGCACUUCAAGUCUUUCAUAGAUUAUGUUUUGUUGCUCUAUAUUUUCUAAAUUUCCACCGCUCAGACAUUUGCAAGUUAAUAAAUUUGCACUUCCACCCA
Long non-coding RNA from Brassica napus (rape), 2362 nucleotides. RefSeq lists it as uncharacterized. The transcript has 3 exons. NCBI's taxonomy places the organism in Eukaryota, Viridiplantae, Streptophyta, Magnoliopsida, Brassicales, Brassicaceae. The record is from RefSeq and is a predicted model, not a curated record.